AUUGAACGCUGGCGGCAUGCUUUACACAUGCAAGUCGAACGGUAACAGGCCUUCUUGUUCUGACGAUUGGCUAACGGGUGAGUAAUGCAUCGGAACGUGCCCAGCGGUGUGGGAUAACGCAGCGAAAGCUGUGCUAAUCCCGCAUGUGAUCUGAAUAUGAAAUCGGGGUACCAUUCAGCAAUUUUUGGCCUCUCGCCUUUGGUCCCGCCGUUUUCAGAUUAGGUAGUUGGUGGGGUAAAGGCCUACCAAGCCGACGAUCUGUAGCUGGUCUGAGAGGACGAACAGCGACACUGGGACUGAGACACGGCCAAGACGCCUACGGGAGGCAGCAGUGGGGAAUGGUAGACAAUGGGCGCGAGCAUGAUACAGCAAUGGCGCGUGCGAGAAGGAGGCCCUCGGGUGGUAAACAGCUUUUGUACGGAACGAAAAGGCUCUGGCUAAUACCUAGGGAUGAUGACGGUACCGUAAGAAGAAGCACCGGCUAACUACGUG
This 492-nucleotide ribosomal RNA is filed under the name uncultured bacterium. Its description in RNAcentral is "partial 16S ribosomal RNA". It matches the Rfam family "Bacterial small subunit ribosomal RNA", at positions 30 to 507 of the family's 1533-position model. The record is from RNAcentral.